AGAAAUUUUAUUUUGGCCAGGAGCUGAAGUUGGUUGUUUAGUAGUAGUAGUUUGAGUAGUGACCGAAGUAGUAGUCUGGUGUGUGGGUGCAGCUGAAGUUUCAGAAGUGUCAGGUGCAAGAGUAGUUGGGGAAGAAUUAGGUGUGGGUGGGGCAGCUGUGGUCUCUGGUGGAGCUGAGGCGGAUGAUGGGUCUAGGGUAGUUGCAGAAGGUGUGGGUGGGGCAGCUGUGGUCUCUGGUGGAGCUGAGGAAGAUGGUGGAGCUUGUGUAGUUGCAGAAGGUGUGGGUGGGGCAGCUGUGGUGUCUUGUGGAGCUGGGGAAUUCACUGGUGCUAAUGUAGCUACAGAAGAGCUUGUGUUAACAUUUUCUCUUGAAGAUAUGGUGGUGGCAUUCUGGGGAAGAAAAGUCACAUUUGGAAGGGUAGUAAUUUUGGUGGAAGCUUAGGCCUACAGCGUUUGUGCAGACAUUUAUAGGACUUUCUAAUGAACGGCUUCUGGUGAGCUAGCA
This 505-nucleotide long non-coding RNA is filed under the name Homo sapiens (human). Its description in RNAcentral is "HSALNT0320146". Lineage: Eukaryota; Metazoa; Chordata; Mammalia; Primates; Hominidae. The record is from RNAcentral.